GUCGAGAUACUACAGAUUUAAUAACACUCAAGAACUAGUCUCAAGAAAAGGGAAUAUCAACGCGCAUUCGAGAAAAGAAAGGCAGAAACGACCAUACUAGAUAAAAUUUCGCGGAACCUUAAAACAAUAUGACGACUAACCCAUGGAAGCGAUUAGGACAUGUACUUCAUGUCAACACAACUUCAAGUCAACGAUAACUAGUCAACGAACAACCAACCGAAUAACGAUUUUCCAACAUUAACAGAAACGAAUAGCAAAAGAGACGAAGAGAAAGUUAUCGGAGUGAACAGAUUACUUUUCUCAGGGCAGCGAAUUGAGACAACACGAGUAGAAUGA
This 336-nucleotide long non-coding RNA is filed under the name Solanum tuberosum (potato). Its description in RNAcentral is "long non-coding RNA (STUB_LNC008789)". The record is from RNAcentral. Lineage: Eukaryota; Viridiplantae; Streptophyta; Magnoliopsida; Solanales; Solanaceae.